AUGACUUAUCCUUGUGUUUUUGUUUCUAAAGACUUGACGCUGGAGAGUCUAAGUGAUGAGGAGAUUCCUCCAGUAGAGACAAGGUCUAAAGAUGGCCCGUUUUUAAGAUGCUCACCACGAUGCAAAGAUGAAGAAGAUGAUGAUGAUGAUCUUGAUGCCCACAUAACAGCUCAGAAAGAAAACGGUAGGUACCAUGAGAUAACUCACUUCCCGAGGGAAAAACUUGCUAGCUUCAGUGUAUAGAAACCUGAUUCUGGGUUCCUGCUGGGAAAGAGGCUUGGGGUUCUCGUGAAAGUGAUUCUGCCAGUGUAGAACUCUGACCCGAGAAGCUGUAGGAAGGUUUGUCGACCCAGAAGAAAGAUUAGGGGAUCAUGUAUGAAGCAGCAUGGGGUGGGAGAAUAGCCCAUCACUCAGCUUCAGCUGAAGUAGGAGGAGUGGGUGAGUCACUCUCUCUAAUGACUUAUCCUUGUGUUUUUGUUUCUAAAGACUUGACGCUGGAGAGUCUAAGUGACGAGGAGAUUCAUCCAGGUAGGCAACUACGUGCCAGGAAAAACCCAAUGGGAAAAGGUUCCCAGGAGCCUCCAGGUUAUCCCUGCUGCUUGUGAGGAGGGGCUGAGGGAGGGGGUAUGAAAUCAGAAAGAAAAUGGAAACAUGUGUGAGGUCUGG
Molecule: long non-coding RNA, 666 nt
Filed under: Pongo abelii (Sumatran orangutan)
Lineage: Eukaryota; Metazoa; Chordata; Mammalia; Primates; Hominidae
Description: lncRNA (ENSPPYG00000034119.1)
Source: RNAcentral